Molecule: non-coding RNA, 65 nt
Organism: Dipodomys ordii (Ord's kangaroo rat)
Lineage: Eukaryota; Metazoa; Chordata; Mammalia; Rodentia; Heteromyidae
Source: Rfam
GGUGGCUUAGUGGUAGGGUGCUUGCCUCAUACGCAUGAGGCCCUGGGUUCAAUUCCUCAGCACCA